GAGUGUGGGGGGACUCGACAAAUAAAUGAUAUUUAUAUAUAUUUUAUAUACAUAAUUAUAGUGGUAGUUGUGGAUUAACUAGUAAAUGAAUGGGCUUAAUGAAACAAACAGAUAUCUACAAGAUAUUAGCCCAAUAACAUAAAAGAAUAAAGCCCAAUGCAAUGCCCAAUCCUUCAAGAAGAAGACCCAAACUCACAUUAGGGCUAGACAAAGGAAGUCUCUGGAAGAGAAGGAAAACACGAAGGCUUUUUCCUUGCACGAACUAGAGAUGAGGAAUCUUUAGAGAUGGGCGAAGAAUGGGUCGAUGGGGACAUUCUCAAAGUCAGAGAAGAGAGCAACAUACCAGGUCGCAUGUGGAAGGAGAGCAACAGAGCAAGUCGUCAGAUGAGGUCGCGAUUUAGGGCCACAGACUUGGUCGCGAUUUAGGGUAGAAGCAGGUGAGGUCGCGAUUUGAAGGACAAGCAGAUGAGGUCGCGAUUUAGGGGAGAAGCAGAUGAGGUUGCGAUGUUGUUUUAACUAAAAAUACAAGUCCCCUCUGCGUCGCCUACGAGUCACAGGAAAAUGCUUACGCACUAGUUGACAAAUCUGUGGGCUUUUUCAAACAGAGUGCAACUUGGCUUGGUUGGUACUAAGGCCCAGGCUCAAGAAUUUUUGCAACCUCUUCACGAUACAAGAGGCUACUUGUAUAUCUUCUAUUUUGGUGGAAUUGGCCAGCAUCUACGGGAGCUGCACCAAAGUGGUAUCGAAGACAUGAGCAGAUGGGGUAAUUCCUGGUCACGAUACCAAGCCCGAUGGCUGGCAUAGUUAUAGAGAUGAUGAGUUUGUUUCAAACUAUGGUGGAACCCGUUGGUAUGAUCAUUCAGGAGCUCACGAUGACAGAGAUUACUGGGCUCGUCCGUUUAUAGGGGUUCAAGAAAAUGGGCAUAGCUACUCUCAAUAUGACCGACAAUAUUCCUAUGAUCAAGAUGUCAGAACUCAUUACUAUCACCAAUUUUCAGUUGAUACAGAAAGUUGAUGUGAUUCUACUCGCAAAGAUAUGCGCGAUUGUUGUGAUGGAUAUGACCGAUCCCGAGAAGGUUACUCCCCAACAAUUGUUACGAGCUCCCUACCUCAACAGAGUGGUAAUGCCUAUCACCUGUUUGACGAAAGGCUUGAACAAACUUUUGCUUCAAAGGCCACCAUAUAUGGAGAAUCUAGUUCAAUGGCUAGCAACAUUCAAGGUGUUCAUAUGACAGCACAAUAAUACCCCAAAAGCAGUGGCUUGAUAUCCUCCAUAGUAUUUUCAAAGAGCUUCGGUCCUUGAGUCAACAAAUGGGCACUUGAACUGAUAGGGUAAGCAUGCUGUUGGCAAACCUUUUUGAGAAACAUAGUCGUGAUAGGGUGAAACAAUUUGAAUUCCAAUCCAAAUAGGUUCCGGAGGUUCUUGAUUUGGUUGAACACAACGGGCAAACGACUAAGACACAAGAAGAAGUUGUGACUGAGACAUAAAAAUGAGUUGUGGUUGAGAAACAAGAAGAAAUUGUUGGUGCAAAGAUGCAGUCAGAAUACGAUGUCCAGGGAAUUGAAAUUGGAAGUUAGGGUGUGAAAACUUGCGAAGCUUAGCUAGCCUUUAGCUCAGGUGAUAUAGGUGGGUUGAUAAAAUUGAACACCCAAUAGCAAGAGGAAUCUACUUUGGUGAACUUCCAUUGUCAUGAGGUUUUGAAACUUAAGGAACUUCCUUAUUGUGUAGUGCAGCAAUAUGUUUCUAAGAAGACGGUGGACGUUCCAGUGGAGCGAUUCCUUAAAGGGCACAAACCUGGUAAAAGCUCAGUUCAUACCAAAGUUGCUUAAUGCUUUCCUAAAUAUGUCGAAGUGUUACAUAACAAUAUUAGUUUGAUACUAGUUCAUCACAACCUGACAGUAUACUCCAUUGUUACAUUUCCAUGUGCAAAUUUUUAUUGGGUGAAAAGUGUAUACUAGUACUCUUACUUGCGGCAUGACCUUGCCAAUUCCUUAUUGGUUUGAAAGAUUUGUUGCUGAACACAAAUGAUGGCUGGAAACUAAACAUAGGUAUGGUAGAUGGGCAUUGUUGUUCACUCCAGUGUCAUCAUAUGAAAGUGUAGUUUGGGUUUUGGUAGUGGUCUUACUUGAUAAUACAAUGGAUGUGUUAUGCCCUGUUGUUGAUCAAGAUAAUUUGUUUGAUAUUACCUUGGUCUUGCUUGAGGACACUACCAGAUUGUCUACUUUGCUCGAGCAGAAAUUAUUCUUCAUCCAUGGAUUAAGGGGGCAUCUACAGAAAGACAUUGCUACUACUUGAAGAGUUUAGGACCAUGGUGGACGCCAUGCUUCAAUUCUAAUUUAUGUGGGUCAAUGUUUACUUGAUGGAGUUGAGUUAUUUUGGGGUGGCAAGGUUUGAUGUAGUGGGCUUUUUCAAACAGAGUGCAACUUGGCUUGGUUGGUACUAAGGCCCAGGUCCAAGAAGUUUAGCAACCUCUUCCUUCACACGAUACAAGAGGAUAGGGCAACCUAGGAGAGCUCAGAUUUUGAUAUUUUGUGAACAUUUGUUCUUAGUUUCUUUCUAGUUUGGGUUCUUCAAUCUCUUGUAUAGGCGAUCAAUCGACAUUAGGGGUUUUCCCCGUUGGCUAGUAAUCUCCUUGCUAUUCUGAUUGUGUAACUUGUUAUUGUAGUUAUAGGUAUUAAGAACCGUGGAAAUGUAUGUAUUUGCUGGAGAUUAGCUUGUGUUUCUUGUACUAAACGAUUGAAGCAUCUGGUAUUAGCCCUUGGUGGCAUUUCUAUGUUGUGAUUUAGAGAAGGUUUGUGUUUUCGGCUAAUUGUAUUUCUUCUACUUUGGUGGAAUUGGCCAGCACCUACAGGAGCUGCACCAAAGGGGUAUCGAAGACAUGAGCAGAUGGGGUAAUUCCUGGUCACGAUACCAAGCCCAACGGCUGGCGUAGUUUCAGAGAUGAUGAGUUUGUUUCAAACUAUGGUGGAACCCGUUGGUAUGCCUAUCACCUGUUUGACGAAAGGCCUGAACCAACUUUUGCUUCAAAGGCCACCAUAUAUGAAGAAUCUAGUUCAAUGGCUGGCACUCAACGAUCAAUGUGUUCAUAUGACAACACAAUAAUACCCCAAAAGCAGUGGCAUGAUAUCCUCCAGAGUAUUUUCGAAGAGCUUCGAUCCCUGAGUCAACAAAUGGGUACUUGGACUGAUAAAGUAAGCAUGCUAUUGGCAAACGUUUCUAAGAAAUAUAGUCGUGAUAGGGUGAAACAAUUUGAAUUCCAAUCGAAAGUGGUUCUGGAGGUUCUCGAUAUGGUUGAGCACAAUGGGCAAACGACUAAGACACAAGAAGUUGUGAUUGAGGCACAAAAUGGAGUUUUGGCUGAGAAACAAGAAGAAAUUGUUGGUGCAAAGAUGCAGUCAUAAUGUGAUGUCCAGGGAUUGAAAUUGGAAGUGUGGGUGUGAUAACUUGCGGAGCUAAGCUAGCCUUUAGCCCUGGUGAUAUUGGUGGAUUGACAAAAUUGAAUACCUAAGAGCAAGGGAAAUCUACUUUGGUCAACUUCCAUAGUUAUAAGGUUUUGAAACUUAAGGAACUUCCUUAUUGUGUAGCGCAACAAUAUGUUUCUAAGAAGAUAGUGGACAUUCCAGUGGAGCGAUUCCUCAGAGGGCACUGGUACGAUAUCACGUUAGUUUGGUAAUUAGUAGGUUAAAUUAGGGCUCUUUAUGUCAUUGGGCAUGUGUAUUUAGCUCUAACUUUUCUUGUGUUAGAGCAGUUAAUGAUUAUGAAUGUUGUGUAAUCUCUCUCUUAGAGAGAGUUGUAAGGAUCGAUCCUUGAAGGAUCGUUCCAUCUGGUAUAAAAGGAAAGUUUCGAUUUUCUUA
Tripterygium wilfordii is the source of this 3855-nucleotide long non-coding RNA. RefSeq lists it as uncharacterized. NCBI's taxonomy places the organism in Eukaryota, Viridiplantae, Streptophyta, Magnoliopsida, Celastrales, Celastraceae. The transcript is spliced from 4 exons. The record is from RefSeq and is a predicted model, not a curated record.